GUUGACCUCGGAUCAGGUAGGAAUACCCGCUGAACUUAAGCAUAUCAAUAAGCCGGAGGAAA
Molecule: ribosomal RNA, 62 nt
Filed under: Trichoderma harzianum
Lineage: Eukaryota; Fungi; Ascomycota; Sordariomycetes; Hypocreales; Hypocreaceae
Description: partial 28S ribosomal RNA
Source: RNAcentral